UACCGAGGGUGCAAGCGUUAAUCGGAAUUACUGGGCGUAAAGCGUGCGUAGACGGUUAUGUAAGUCGGGUGUGAAAGCCCCGGGCUCAACCUGGGAAUGCCAUUCGAGACUGCAUAGCUAGGGUGCGGAAGAGGGAAGCGGAAUUUCCGGUGUAGCGGUGAAAUGCGUAGAUAUCGGAAGGAACAUCAGUGGCGAAGGCAGUGCCCUGGCCGACGGCUGACGCUCAGGCGCGAAAGCGUGGGGAGCAAACAGG
RNAcentral lists this ribosomal RNA (253 nucleotides) under uncultured bacterium. RNAcentral describes it as "partial 16S ribosomal RNA". It matches the Rfam family "Bacterial small subunit ribosomal RNA", at positions 524 to 776 of the family's 1533-position model. The record is from RNAcentral.